Molecule: unclassified non-coding RNA, 303 nt
Filed under: plant metagenome
Description: partial contains small subunit ribosomal RNA, internal transcribed spacer 1, and 5.8S ribosomal RNA
Source: RNAcentral
UUUCCGUAGGUGAACCUGCGGAAGGAUCAUUUCCGAACAAAAAACAAAUUACAAACCAACAAUGUGAACCGUUUUGGGUUUUUUCUUACUCUCCGAUUGACAGCUGCCCUUUUUUCGUUUUCGUUUUCUUCUUCUUCGGGGGAGGGGAAUGGGGACAGAAAAAGCGGUUUCUUUUUUUUCGGGGAGGCCAUUAUGAACUACCUUGUCACAAAGGUUGAUUACUAUCGUUCUUGCUUAUUUUUCUUCUUCGGAAUGAAAAUCUCAAUGAUACGACAACUUUUAACGGUGGAUCUCUUGGCUCGU